This 462-nucleotide small RNA is filed under the name Pan troglodytes (chimpanzee). RNAcentral describes it as "processed transcript". The record is from RNAcentral. Lineage: Eukaryota; Metazoa; Chordata; Mammalia; Primates; Hominidae.
AAGGGCCGCUCCUCCCGCCAGCCCGGUGGGAGCAGGGAGCGGGGAGUUGGGAACCUUCUUCCCGGCCUCCGCAGUCCCGUGGGAUCCGCGCCGCCUCCGACCUCGGCUAGGGGGCCGGGCUUCCCUGGGGACUGGCCGGCCCGCGGCGGGCUCCCGGGCUGGGGUCGCCCCCUGCCUGCGGCGUUCUCAGACAUCCCGUCUGAUUUCUAACGCUCACCCUUCCACCGCGCUGGGGAAAAGAUGUGGGAAGAUAAAUGAAGGGGUCUAGAUGUAAAUGUCAGUGGAAAGGAGAGCUACCACCACUAAGGUUUAUAUUCUGCAAGAUCCUGAAGAUACUUUCCUUCUUUUCCGGCUGAAAACACAGUUAAAUCACUUUCAAAGUUAAAAGACUAUUAAGAACACAAGAUGGGGACUCCUGGUUCUGGAAGGAAAAGAACACCUGUGAAAGACCGAUUUUCUGCA